UACGUAGGGUGCAAGCGUUAAUCGGAAUUACUGGCGUAAAGCGUGCGCAGGCGGUUCGCUAAGACAGAUGUGGAAAUCCCCGGGCUUAACCUGGGAACUGCAUUUGUGACUGGCGGCUAGAGUAUGGCAGAGGGGGUAGAUCCAACGUGCAGCAGUGAAAUGCGUAGAGAUGUGGAGGAAUACCGAUGGCGAAGGCAGCCCCUGGGCCAAUACUGACGCUCAUGCACGAAAGCGUGGGGAGCAAACAGG
Molecule: ribosomal RNA, 249 nt
Filed under: uncultured bacterium
Lineage: Bacteria
Description: partial 16S ribosomal RNA
Rfam family: Bacterial small subunit ribosomal RNA
Source: RNAcentral